UAGGAGUCUCAAGUGCAGAUAUACAGCUAGAACCAUUGGUACACAAGAUCUUGUGGUUCUAGCUGUAUAUAUGCGCUUGAGACUCCUAUAUCUAUUUCG
Pelobates cultripes (western spadefoot toad) is the source of this 99-nucleotide non-coding RNA. Lineage: Eukaryota; Metazoa; Chordata; Amphibia; Anura; Pelobatidae. The record is from the annotation of a GenBank genome assembly.